This is a long non-coding RNA of Panicum virgatum (switchgrass), 485 nucleotides long. RefSeq lists it as uncharacterized. The record is from RefSeq and is a predicted model, not a curated record. NCBI's taxonomy places the organism in Eukaryota, Viridiplantae, Streptophyta, Magnoliopsida, Poales, Poaceae. The transcript is spliced from 2 exons.
AUCCACUGAGAAGUGAGAAGAUUGAUAAGGCAUUCUAGGAUGAAUGUGACUCCAAGGCUUCACUUUUGAGUUCUUGCAUUGUAAGCUCAGCUUCUGUCAGAGUGCUCUGUGAGUCACUCGCCAGAUCUAAUUGGAUGAUGUUUUGCUAUGGAUUCUAUUUUCCACAUGUUAGAAUGAUAGGAACAAUCUAAAAUUUACCUUUAAAAUUGAUGGUGAUUUACUUUAUCUGUAGUAGUGUAGAGCAAACAAGCAUUCAACUUUAGGGUGCAAAUUGUAGUAAUCUGGAUGUUUACUUUCUUCAUGGUGCUUCUCAUUCAGCUUUUGUGUAAACAUGCUAAAUUUUCUGCGCAUUCGGUUGCCCUUAUGGCUGGUGUACCAAAUGCACAGUCGAAAGAUAAUUGGUUUAUGUUUGGCAAUGAAAGUUGUACUCAUUUGUAAUGCGGCCUAGGCAUAUUUAUCUCAAGUCUUCUGUGUUUUUUGUUCAA